This 270-nucleotide ribosomal RNA is filed under the name uncultured prokaryote. RNAcentral describes it as "partial 16S ribosomal RNA". It matches the Rfam family "Bacterial small subunit ribosomal RNA", at positions 524 to 794 of the family's 1533-position model. The record is from RNAcentral.
UACGUAGGGGCAAGCGUUAUCCGGAUUUACUGGGUGUAAAGGGAGCGCAGACGGCAGUGCAAGUCUGAUGUGAAAGCCCGGGGCUCAACCCCGGAACUGCAUUGGAAACUGUGCAGCUUGAGUGUCGGAGAGGUAAGCGGAAUUCCUAGUGUAGCGGUGAAAUGCGUAGAUAUUAGGAGGAACACCGGUGGCGAAGGCGGCUUACUGGACGAUUACUGACGUUGAGGCUCGAAAGCGUGGGGAGCAAACAGGAUUAGAUACCCUGGUAGU